RNAcentral lists this ribosomal RNA (497 nucleotides) under uncultured bacterium. Its description in RNAcentral is "partial 16S ribosomal RNA". It matches the Rfam family "Bacterial small subunit ribosomal RNA", at positions 28 to 507 of the family's 1533-position model. The record is from RNAcentral.
GAUGAACGCUGGCGGCGUGCCUAAUACAUGCAAGUCGAGCGAACAGAUGAGGAGCUGGCUCCUCUGACGUUAGCGGCGGACGGGUGAGUAACACGUGGAUAACCUACCUAUAAGACUGGGAUAACUUCGGGAAACCGGAGCUAAUACCGGAUAAUAUAUUGAACCGCAUGGUGCAAUAGUGAAAGACGGUUUUGCGGUCACUUAUAGAUGGAUCCGCGCCGCAUUAGCUAGUUGGUAAGGUAACGGCUUACCAAGGCAACGAUGCGUAGCCGACCUGAGAGGGUGAUCGGCCACCCUGGAACUGAGACACGGUCCAGACUCCUACGGGAGGCCGCAGUAGGGAAUCUUCCGCAAUGGACGAAAGCCUGACGGAGCAACGCCGCGUGAGUGAUGAAGGUCUUCGGAUCGUAAAACUCUGUUAUUAGGGAAGAACAAAUGUGUAAGUAACUAUGCACGUCUUGACGGUACCUAAUCAGAAAGCCACGGCUAACUACGUG